GGUCCAGAAGUGUUUCACGUCGGAUUGCAACUCCGAAAGAGGGGGUGCGUUCCCCCUGGACUU
RNAcentral lists this transfer RNA (63 nucleotides) under Lanthanotus borneensis (Borneo earless monitor). Its description in RNAcentral is "tRNA-Cys". The record is from RNAcentral. Lineage: Eukaryota; Metazoa; Chordata; Lepidosauria; Squamata; Lanthanotidae.